This 465-nucleotide ribosomal RNA is filed under the name Vreelandella stevensii. RNAcentral's name for it is "partial 16S ribosomal RNA". It matches the Rfam family "Bacterial small subunit ribosomal RNA", at positions 338 to 795 of the family's 1533-position model. Lineage: Bacteria; Pseudomonadati; Pseudomonadota; Gammaproteobacteria; Oceanospirillales; Halomonadaceae. The record is from RNAcentral.
CCUACGGGUGGCAGCAGUGGGGAAUAUUGGACAAUGGGCGAAAGCCUGAUCCAGCCAUGCCGCGUGUGUGAAGAAGGCCUUCGGGUUGUAAAGCACUUUCAGUGGGGAAGAAAGCCUUGGGGCUAAUACCCUCGAGGAAGGACAUCACCCACAGAAGAAGCACCGGCUAACUCCGUGCCAGCAGCCGCGGUAAUACGGAGGGUGCGAGCGUUAAUCGGAAUUACUGGGCGUAAAGCGCGCGUAGGCGGUCUGAUAAGCCGGUUGUGAAAGCCCCGGGCUCAGCCUGGGAACGGCAUCCGGAACUGUCAGGCUAGAGUGCAGGAGAGGAAGGUAGAAUUCCCGGUGUAGCGGUGAAAUGCGUAGAGAUCGGGAGGAAUACCAGUGGCGAAGGCGGCCUUCUGGACUGACACUGACGCUGAGGUGCGAAAGCGUGGGUAGCAAACAGGAUUAGAUACCCCGGUAGUC